AGAGUUUGAUCAUGGCUCAGAGCGAACGCUGGCGGCAGGCCUAACACAUGCAAGUCGAACGAACUCUUCGGAGUUAGUGGCGGACGGGUGAGUAACACGUGGGAACGUGCCUUUAGGUUCGGAAUAACUCAGGGAAACUUGUGCUAAUACCGAAUGUGCCCUUCGGGGGAAAGAUUUAUCGCCUUUAGAGCGGCCCGCGUCUGAUUAGCUAGUUGGUGAGGUAAAGGCUCACCAAGGCGACGAUCAGUAGCUGGUCUGAGAGGAUGAUCAGCCACAUUGGGACUGAGACACGGCCCAAACUCCUACGGGAGGCAGCAGUGGGGAAUCUUGCGCAAUGGGCGAAAGCCUGACGCAGCCAUGCCGCGUGAAUGAUGAAGGUCUUAGGAUUGUAAAAUUCUUUCAGUAGGGACGAUAAUGACGGUACCUACAGAAGAAGCCCCGGCUAACUUCGUGCCAGCAGCCGCGGUAAUACGAAGGGGGCUAGCGUUGCUCGGAAUUACUGGGCGUAAAGGGAGCGUAGGCGGACAUUUAAGUCAGGGGUGAAAUCCCGGGGCUCAACCUCGGAAUUGCCUUUGAUACUGGGUGUCUUGAGUAUGAGAGAGGUAUGUGGAACUCCGAGUGUAGAGGUGAAAUUCGUAGAUAUUCGGAAGAACACCAGUGGCGAAGGCGACAUACUGGCUCAUUACUGACGC
RNAcentral lists this ribosomal RNA (692 nucleotides) under uncultured bacterium. RNAcentral's name for it is "bacterial SSU rRNA". It matches the Rfam family "Bacterial small subunit ribosomal RNA", at positions 8 to 746 of the family's 1533-position model. The record is from RNAcentral.